AGGAAUUGACAGCACCAAAUGGGGGCAUUCGGCUCAUUGUGUCCAUGCCGGCCAGAGACGGAGCUAUUUAAGUGCUUCCUAUCUCUCAAUCCAUAGUUUUAUGUGUCAUGGCUCUUCAAGUAUUCAUGCAGAGAUUAAAAGCUCAUGGCAAAGGACAUCACAUAUUGGUAUGGAUAGAAGAUUGGCUGGUCAUCAGGAAACGGAGAGUAUGCAUUAGUGGAUCUUUUUCUGAUGGCGCACCAUUUGUUACAGCAUGUCACUGGGGUUGGUGUUAGGAUCUUCCAGUGUGAUAAUUUGUUAUAAAUGACUUGAAUCAAGGAACUGAAGGCACAUGUGAAAAUUGCUCAUACACCUCUGGUUUCUUGGAGGAGCGGUGAGGACACCCAUUCGCAUGUAAAGGAGCAUCCUGCCCUCUGUGGAAGACUUGAGGGGGGAGGAGAAGAUACAUUUCAGAGGGAAACAACUGUGAACCAGCAGCUUCAGAAUCACAAUAGUUACAGCAAGGAAGGAGGGCAUUUGGCUCAUCGUGUCUGUUCCAGUUCAAUUCAGUGUUCCACAAAAGAAGCUUACAGCUUCACUUUUUGUUCUACAGAGUGAAUCAUGCCAAGGAAAGGAUUCCCUGUCCCUAUUUGGCUUGCGUUUGAAGUGCGGCAAGUAUCCAGAUUUUGGCAGUAAACAUUCAGCGUCAUGUUACGAUUUUUCCAUUUCUAGUGAGUCGCUUUGAUUUCUGAGCCAAGGGUGCGAAAAAUAUGAGUUUAUAUAUGUUUUUGUUUUUAGAUGUUAUGACUUAAAUUGCUAAAUGUUUUAAAUUUCUUCAGGGGACAUAAUAACAAAGCCAGUGACAUGUUAGUGAGGACUUUUUUAAAUUUGUUAACCAUAAAGUAUUUUUUUCUCUCUAUUCAAAUCAAAAUAAGUUUACUUAAAAUAUGAGUUAAAAUGAAUAACUGUCAUGAAUUAAAAUAACAAAAGUAAUUUGCUAUUCGGGUGUCUAUAAAAAAAAGAUGGCGAGUGAAUGGUUGUGAUCUAUCCAGGGACAAUACUGCAAUGCAGAUGUGCAUUUGAAAAUACUAAUACCACCUUUUUGGUGCUCAGAUUUUCAGAAAUUUUAAUUUAAAUUGUUUUAAAAAUAUAGAAGUAAAACCAUAUUGAACAGCAUAGAUGGUAGAAGUACAGGGAAAUUGAAAACUGCACGCAAAACAAACAUGGCUGUUCAUUGAGAUGAAUGAUCUUGUACAAUGUUAGGCUGCCAGAUUUUAUUCUAAACUGUGUUGGUUUAGUGAAAAGGAAGUGUGUAGAAACUAUUAGCUAAUUUUAUAAAUACAAACUAUGGAACCUAAAUAGAUUACAGUUUACAUAGCAUGCCCUUAAUAUAUUUUUAAUUAUAUUUUUAUGUUUUUGUUACUUUAUCACUUUCAUGGAUUAAAAACAACAGUUGGUGAAGGGGUGGGGGGGGGGGGAGGAUGGAAUUAUGCCUAAUCAACUGUUUUUCAUAACUUGAUAUGUUAUUGCACCUAAAGUAAAUUUUUGAGGAAUUGUGGAAAAUCACAUCCUGUAAGUAAAUAUAUUAUUUCUCUUAUUCUUUGAAAGAGAGGUUUCCUCUUGAAACCUUCUAUGAAUUUUCAUUUUAAAAAAAUCCAUCUACUUCAUAUAGUGAAGAAGUUGCUUGUUUUUUUUUCUUGAAGGCAUUGACUGAAUUUUGAUUUCUUAGGUUCUAAUUGUCCCUCCAGUGCAUUAGCAACUUACCUAUUUAGUUCUUUUUAGGCUCACAUGUAGUAACAGUGAGUUACUUACCAAAAAACUUGCCAGCUUAGCAGAGUCCUGACUUUACCUUUUCACGCACAAGAACAAAAUUUCAACAAAGGUUUGCUUCAGGGCAACUAAGAUUUGUUUGUUACUUUACAACCCCCAGCUAUAACCCUGCAUCAUGGUUUCAACCUGAAACAUUGACAGUUCCUUUCCCCACACAUGCUGCUCAACCCACUUGAGUUCCUCCAGCAGAUUAUUUGUUGCUCCACAUUCCAGCAUCUGCAGCCUCUUGUGUUUCUACACUUAAAUGAUGGUAGUUUACUAGGAGUCCAGUUGGAUUAAUUUGACUUUUUAUGCGAAGUACUUGACCUAAUUAUCUUGGCAACAGAUUAAUAGUUCAUAAAAUUUUCCAACUUUAAAAGUGUUUUGAAACUAACCUAAGUCUACAUUGUAAGUGAUAAUCAGUUUUUGGUACGAGGUUUGUCAAAGGAUACAUAAUAAAAUUUGCUUUUUUCUGUGUUAGCAUGGGAUGGCAACACCAGCAUAGGGAUUUUUAAAACAAAAACAUUUGUAUGUAGUGGCAAAGUUUUACACUGUUAACUAGUGAAUAAUGACUUCAGUGCUCAUUUCAAAAAAUGUUCAUGUUAAUAGUAUGUAUUUGAUGUAAUUGCUAUUAUUAACUCUUAGACUAUUUAGUUGUUAAAACAAUUACAUUUGCAUUACUGUGACUGUGAAAUAUUUUCAUAUUUCUUGAUUCCAGCAUCCUACAACAGUCCAUCAAACCCAGGUUGAUAAAGGGGAAAAUCUUGUGUGAUUCUUUUGACAGGUGCAUUCAUUUGUUUUCCUCCAUUGUAGACAGACAUCUUCUCAAUUUCUACUCGCCUUAAUGAAUUUUUCCCUGUGGAGCUUUUAGUUCAUUAUCUAAUCUAAAAAGAUAAUGUCUUGAAUUUAAUUCCAAUAGGCUGCUGCAGUUUCUCAUUUUAGGGCAAUUCAUUCUAUUUAUGAUGGUAAGAUGAGGUUUAUUCACAAGGCUUGAUGGCACUGAGUCAAAUAAGCUUGACAUCUUGGCCACUAUUGUUGAAAUAAGAGCUUUUUCAAAAAAAUUAUACAGUUCACUCUCAACUCUAGCUGUAAAUUUUCUAGAACCAUCCAGGAUUAGCCAUUAAUGUGAGGAAACUCUAAAUGGCAUCUUAGAAUGCAUUUAUGGUAAAUGUAGUUUUAACCAGUUGUGCUUUUCAGAUCUCAUUUUUGGUGAAUCUCUGAAUACAAAAAUGCUGUUGAGAUGCUCAUUCCCACCUUAUCCCAAGUACUACUUGUGACUGCAACAUAUACUGCCACUGAAAAGGGGAAGAUGUUUACUUACACAACUUUUCAGUUUAAGUAGGUUGAAUAAAUAGGAUUAAUUGAAUUCAUUAUUUUACUGCAGCAAAUAAAAAUUCACCAGUGUUUGGAAGAAAUCCUAGUGGAUUAUUAAUUUAUGGCUCAGAUACCAUAUCCCUAGUUUGUGUACCAACUACAGAUGCAUGGGUUCAGAAUAUUACUUCGAUUUAUUUUUCAUCGUGGAAGUAUACUGUAGAACUAAAAUGUAGUCACUCCUGAAUCUCACUGUAACACUGGAUUUAUUUAGAAUUUUCUGAAAGUCUUCUGACUUUGCUUAACUUCAGAUUUUUACAGGAUAAAUGUGAUUCAGAAAACAAAGCUGUCUGCAGAAGUUGAUGAAAGUAGUUAAUAUUAAAUUAAUUUCAGUUUGUUUCAUAUCUUUUGGCUUUUGGAUGGCAACUUCUUGGGUUCAUUCCAGAGGAAGGGUCUUGACCCGAAACAUCGACUGCCCAUUUUCGUCCACAGAUGCUGCCUACUCCCUGAGUUCCUCUAGCAUUUUGUUUAUAAAUUGGGCUUUAAGAAUCAAAUUUCACACUUUCCACUGUUUUCAUACAUAUCCACAGAAGUGACACUUAAAUUGUGCUUUAAACAUGGUAAGUGGCAUGAGCUGUUUGAGAAAGUAGAUGCUGGGCAAUAUUAAGAGAGAUACCAUAAACCAAAUAUAGAGAAUAGUGGAAAAUAACAAUGCAGUGGUUUGAUUGUAGAAAUUUGAUAGCCAAAAUGUGCCACACUUGAUGGAAUGGAGUUGAAAUGCAAUGAAGAAUGGUGGUGGACAUGUAUUAACAUACAGGUUUUCAUGCAUAGUGAUUGGGAUCUUGGUAUGGACUGAAUAUUUUGAAUCCAUUACAUUGUAAGUUGUUAAGAACAGCUGUGAUUGGGGAGCAGGAUAGAA
Molecule: long non-coding RNA, 4018 nt
Organism: Pristis pectinata (smalltooth sawfish)
Lineage: Eukaryota; Metazoa; Chordata; Chondrichthyes; Rhinopristiformes; Pristidae
Exons: 5
Source: RefSeq, a predicted model, not a curated record